GGAGUCGGCCAGGCAGUCGCUGCUGCAUCCGUGUAGCAGAGGAAAGUCCGGGCUCCAUAGGGCAGAGUGCCAGGUAACGCCUGGGAGGCGCAAGCCUACGGAAAGUGCCACAGAAAAUAUACCGCCAGCGGCCUUCGGGCUGAGGUAAGGGUGAAAUGGUGCGGUAAGAGCGCACCGCGCUUCUGGCAACAGAAGUGGCAGGGCAAACCCCACUCGGAGCAAGACCAAAUAGGGGAACAUUGUGCGGCCCGCAUGGUUCCCGGGUAGGUUGCUUGAGGUGUGUGGUGACACACAUCCCAGAUGAAUGACUGUCCACGACAGAACCCGGCUUACCGGCUGACUCCCACC
Molecule: RNase P RNA, 348 nt
Filed under: Candidatus Thiodiazotropha sp. (ex Monitilora ramsayi)
Lineage: Bacteria; Pseudomonadati; Pseudomonadota; Gammaproteobacteria; Chromatiales; Sedimenticolaceae
Description: RNase P RNA component class A
Rfam family: Bacterial RNase P class A
About the family: Ribonuclease P (RNase P) is a ubiquitous endoribonuclease, found in archaea, bacteria and eukarya as well as chloroplasts and mitochondria. Its best characterised activity is the generation of mature 5'-ends of tRNAs by cleaving the 5'-leader elements of precursor-tRNAs.
Source: RNAcentral